Molecule: ribosomal RNA, 252 nt
Filed under: uncultured bacterium
Lineage: Bacteria
Description: partial 16S ribosomal RNA
Rfam family: Bacterial small subunit ribosomal RNA
Source: RNAcentral
UACGUAGGUGACCAGCGUUGUCCGGAUUUACUGGGCGUAAAGUGUGCGCAGGCGGCCGAGCAAGUCGAGUGUGAAAGCCCCGGGCUUAACUUGGGAAUUGCGCUCGAAACUACUUGGCUGGAGUGUGGCAGAGGAAGGUGGAAUUCCCGGUGUAGCGGUGAAAUGCGCAGAUAUCGGGAGGAACACCCGUAGCGAAGGCGGCACUCUGGGCCGGAACUGACGCUGAGGAGCGAAAGCGUGGGAGCAAACAGG